GCCCGGCUGGCUCAGUUGGUAGAGCAUGCAACUCUUGAUCUCAAGGUCGUGAGUUUGAGGCCCAUGUUGGGCG
RNAcentral lists this transfer RNA (73 nucleotides) under Canis lupus familiaris (dog). It matches the Rfam family "tRNA". Rfam says of the family: Transfer RNA (tRNA) molecules are approximately 80 nucleotides in length. Their secondary structure includes four short double-helical elements and three loops (D, anti-codon, and T loops). Further hydrogen bonds mediate the characteristic L-shaped molecular structure. tRNAs have two regions of fundamental functional importance: the anti-codon, which is responsible for specific mRNA codon recognition, and the 3' end, to which the tRNAs corresponding amino acid is attached (by aminoacyl-tRNA synthetases). tRNAs cope with the degeneracy of the genetic code in two manners: having more than one tRNA (with a specific anti-codon) for a particular amino acid; and 'wobble' base-pairing, i.e. permitting non-standard base-pairing at the 3rd anti-codon position. RNAcentral also lists the same sequence under 1 other name. The record is from Rfam by way of RNAcentral. Lineage: Eukaryota; Metazoa; Chordata; Mammalia; Carnivora; Canidae.